This 509-nucleotide ribosomal RNA is filed under the name uncultured bacterium. RNAcentral describes it as "bacterial SSU rRNA". It matches the Rfam family "Bacterial small subunit ribosomal RNA", at positions 28 to 520 of the family's 1533-position model. The record is from RNAcentral.
GACGAACGCUGGCGGCGUGGAUUAGGCAUGCAAGUCGGACGGUAGAGCUUUAUCGUAAGAUAGAGUUUGAGAGUGGCGAACGGGUGAGUAACACGUAGGAAUCUACCCUUAAGACGGGGACAACCCAGGGAAACUUGGGCUAAUACCGGAUGAGAGUGCGAGAGAUUGCAUUUAAAAGGAUGGCGAAAGUUGUCGCUUAGGGAUGAGCCUGCGGUCUAUUAGUUAGUUGGUGAGGUAAGAGCUCACCAAGGCGAUGAUAGAUAGGCGGCCUUAACGGGUGGUCGCCCACACUGGGAUUGAGAUACGGCCCAGACUCCUACGGGAGGCAGCAGUCGAGAAUAGUCUACAAUGGCCGGAAGGCUGAUAGUGCGACGCCGCGUGAACGAGGGAGCCCUUCGGGUGUAAAGUCGUUUUCUAUUACGAGCAGUGCUAUAUAUAAUGGAUAGUAUAUAUAGAGGAUAGUAGUAUAGGAAUAAAGCAACGGACUAACUACCGUGCCAGCCGCCCGG